Molecule: non-coding RNA, 226 nt
Organism: Paramuricea clavata
Lineage: Eukaryota; Metazoa; Cnidaria; Anthozoa; Malacalcyonacea; Plexauridae
Source: the annotation of a GenBank genome assembly
AAAAAAUAUUGCCUUUAGAACAUAGUAAAUAACAACAUCAUAGAAAAUGGCAAAAGGUAUCUUUGCACAGUUCGAAUUUGGUCAUUCAUUGGUAACUGCUUAUAUAGUUUUAUUACUGUUAGUGUUAUUAUUGGGACUUCUAGCUAAUGUCUUACUCUGUACCACAAUCUGUAGCAGUGUGAGAUUUAGACUGACUCCAAGCGACAUGUUUGUGUGUGCUAUGGCC